AGCGACGCCGCGUGAGGGAUGACGGCCUUCGGGUUGUAAACCUCUUUCAGUAGGGAAGAAGCCUUCGGGUGACGGUACCUACAGAAGAAGCGCCGGCUAACUACGUGCCAGCAGCCGCGGUAAUACGUAGGGCGCGAGCGUUAUCCGGAAUUAUUGGGCGUAAAGAGCUCGUAGGCGGUUUGUCGCGUCUGCCGUGAAAGUCCGGGGCUUAACCCCGGAUCUGCGGUGGGUACGGGCAGACUAGAGUGCAGUAGGGGAGACCGGAAUUCCUGGUGUAGCGGUGAAAUGCGCAGAUAUCAGGAGGAACACCGAUGGCGAAGGCAGGUCUCUGGGCUGUUACUGACGCUGAGGAGCGAAAGCAUGGGGAGCGAACAGGAUUAGAUACCCUGGUAGUCCAUGCCGUAAACGUUGGGCACUAGGUGUGGGGGACAUUCCACGUUUUCCGCGCCGCAGCUAACGCAUUAAGUGCCCCGCCUGGGGAGUACGGCCGCAAGGCUAAAACUCAAAGGAAUUGACGGGGGCCCGCACAAGCGGCGGAGCAUGCGGAUUAAUUCGAUGCAACGCGAAGAACCUUACCAAGGCUUGACAUGUUCUCGAUCGCCACAGAGAUGUGGUUUCCCCUUUGGGGCGGGUUCACAGGUGGUGCAUGGUUGUCGUCAGCUCGUGUCGUGAGAUGUUGGGUUAAGUCCCGCAACGAGCGCAACCCUCGUUCCAUGUUGCCAGCGGGUUAUGCCGGGGACUCAUGGGAGACUGCCGGGGUCAACUCGG
This 768-nucleotide ribosomal RNA is filed under the name Micrococcus sp. 02Cr-3. RNAcentral describes it as "bacterial SSU rRNA". It matches the Rfam family "Bacterial small subunit ribosomal RNA", at positions 390 to 1166 of the family's 1533-position model. The record is from RNAcentral. RNAcentral also lists the same sequence under 1 other name. Lineage: Bacteria; Bacillati; Actinomycetota; Actinomycetes; Micrococcales; Micrococcaceae.